UUAUAAUUGCAGUAAUAUGAGGCGUUCAGGUGGUAGUACAUUGUCAAGAUUUGGAGCAUAUGGGAUAUACAGUUGCUAUAAUAAGCAACUUCAUUUCCUCUAUAUAAAAAGCAUGAAACAUUUUGCUUUUUUUCAUUUCAAAACCAGUGCCUCGAAUAGCGUAGUUCGGAGUAAAUUUGAUGUAAUUUUUUAUAAGCAAGUGUUCUUUGUACACAAUUGUGAGCGUAAUUACAGUGCUAGUUGGAAUGUAGUGAUAUACAUUUAAAUGCGUCAAGUUUUUGGAUAUAAUAAAAGUGGAAGUAUUUAAAUAUUCUUUUUAUUCAACGGCAAAAGUGUAACAGUUGACAGAUAUUUUCAUAAAUUGGAUUUUAUUAAUUGGUUUUUGACAUGGUUUAAGGCUGAAUAUACAUAUUGAUAGAACAAUGUAUUUUUUAUAGUUUUUUUCAAAAUUGUUAUUUGAUGUAUUUGCAUUCAGUAAAAUUUAAACAGUUCUCAAUUUAGAAUUCUUAUCGGCGAUAUUGCAGAUUUAUGUGUUAAUGUGUUCUAAUGGCUGGUUAAAAUGUGAGUGUUCUCUAGUUAUGUUCAUUUCCAUUUAAAAGAAAAACAGAUAAAAUGUGUUACCUCUUUCAGCUGCAUUUGGAAAUUUUCAAAAGCGUUUGAUAACACAAAUGUUCUAUGCACAUUAGGAACAAGGUGCUUUCUAGGUGAACUACAGGGUAAAUUCAAAACGGGGAACCAUGACAACAUCCAACUUUAGGAUAUAUCAACCAAAGGAACGCAUAUGCGUAAAAACAACUGCCAUAACCUGACUUGGUACAGGCACUAAUGUCAAAGUUCACAUAUCAAAAAGGUUAAUGGUUCAUAUAAAGAACAAAUAUUAUAUUUCAAAUAAUUCUCAUUGCAGGACAGAAACUGCUGAGUUCAGCCUUCUUUAAAAUGCUGUUCAUGUUUCAUUUUCUGUGUAGAGUCUUAAACUGUUGUGGUUUUUGUCAUGGGUUUGUCUGUCUUUUGCGACUACUGGUUUGAAAUUGUUCCCUUGGUAUUUUCUAUCCUUUUUUCCAUGUCAGACAAUGUAUGUUGAAGAUAUAAUGUUUAUUGCCCGAGUAACUUUGUAUGAACUUAUCAUUCCUCUUGAAUGUUAACCAUUUGUAAUGCUCAAUGGUACUUUAUAUUUAUUAGAUACUAUCAUAUAAUAAAAUUUUAAUAGAUAUUUUGGUUAUUUAAAUUCUAUUUAUCAACCGAAUUUUAUGUUUUUGGCUAAUUAUUGAUAUCUCUGGAUUGAAAAAAGGUAUUUAUAGGCUAUUUUUUUUUCGAUAAAAAAGACAACAAACAUAUGAAUACCAUUACAAUGUUUUAUGUAUGCUGUGUUAUGUUACCAAUUCAAAGUUUUCCUACUCUUUCAAGUUUUCAUAUUUUUAAUAUUGUAAUCAACAACUGCAUCCGAGAUUGAAUUCGUUUGAAAAUUUACCUGUAUCAUAAUGUAUACUCUCGCUUUACAUAUUUGUUUAUUUGCAAUGAAAUUGACUAACUGAAAUUAAAGCUAAAUGUGUUGUUUUGAAUUUAAAAAAAAAUGAUAAAGGGAUAAAAACAGAAAACAUAAGACAUAAAAAAAACCUUCUUUGCUAACAUAUUGAUAUAUUUAUUAAUGUUAAACGCCACUUUCAGCACUCGAACGCAAACCUCAGCGUUGAUACGCUAGUGAACAAUGUAGAUGAAUAUUUGGAAUCUCAGAAUGGUCGAGUAAAAAUAUAGAAAUAGGAAUAGGAAUGGAAAUAUUAAUUUAUAAAAGGUUCAGAAUUAUCUAUUUUUACUCCCUAAACACGAAAAAUGAUAAUCAACAGUUAUUUUGUGUAUCCUUGACUAUUAUAAUUAUUAUUGUUCGUUUUUACAAUGAAUUGUUGACAUCUAGAAAUUCCUAGUUAACGAAAUUCCAAAUGACAAUUCAGGUUUUCCUAAGACUUAUGUGCAAAUUCAUUGACUUAAGAUGUCUGAAUAUUUCACAAAAAAACAUUGACGUCGAACACAUCUAAAUAAGUAAUCUUUUUGAAUUAUUAUAAUGAAAAUAAAUGAUGUGUAGGUUGACUAUUUAUUUUGGCUUAAAUAGAAUCCAUUUAUUUAGUUCUUAUGUCUAUCGAACACUCCUUUUGCUGUUCCAUUCAUGUUUUUUACUUAUUGUACAAUGAUAGCGAUAUUUCUGUUUUUUGAUUUUACACGAACUUAAUUACUAUUUAGGCAUGGUUAAAUUGAAAAGGUAACACUGCAAUUUUCUAGAAUCAUUCGAUCAAAUUGAAAAACAAUAUUCAAGACCCUUUAUUUGCAAUUUCAACAUAAAAUAAACAUUCACAAGUAUCUCUGGAUAAAUAAUAACUUAAAUGCAUUUACCUCUUGCUUUUGUUUGAGUGUGUGUCAUAUCAGUUUCAAAAGUUCAUCUUUAAGAAUAAUCUUUACUUACUUGUAUUUGGUCGUAUUUUAGGUCGUUGACCUUGGAUGGAUUUGGCUAUUUCUUUUGGGUAUUUUUGUCGUCUGGCUCUUCAGCUGUUUUGGUAUUUGUACAUCCCCUGAUUUCGGAUGUUUGGUUUUGGGCGUUCCUGAUGAGGGUGGGCCCAGAGGGGCGCUUCGGACGCAUUGAAUUAUUGAACGUGUUGUUUUCAAUUUUUUGAGUAGGAGGCAACAAUAGUUUACAGUUAUCAAAACUCAUAAAUAUAUUUUGAAAACACAAAGAAAGAGAAAAAGCUAGGCGAAAGAUACCAAAGGGAAAUUCAAACUCAUAAGUCGAAAAUAAACUUACAACGCCAUGGCUUAAAAAGAAAAAGACCAACAGACAAACAACAGUACACAAAAAACAACAUAGAAAACUAAAGACUGAGCAACACGAACCUCCCAAAAAACUUGGGGUGAUAUCAGGUGCUCCGGAAGGGUAAGUAGGUCCCGCUUCACAUGUGAUACCCGUCGUGUAGCUCAUGUUAGUACAAACCCGGUGAUAAGUCUAAUUCGGUAGGUCACAUUAGGGAAAAAGGGGAAAAGGGUGAAACCGGAUGCGUAUUGAUUUACAUCUAAUAUAUUUGGUCUCUGGUUAAUAGUUGUCUCCUUAGCUUUCAUACCACAUCUGCUUUUUAUUUCAUUUUUGUUGAAAUAUCAAUUAACUGAAUACGACUAAUAAAAUGGCGAUCAAAAAGUUUAGUUUUUUGUUGAUAUCUCCUUUGGUAAUUUUUGGGGUUAAAAUCAGUAUAGUUCUUCUAAAAGAUUUUUCGUAAAACAAGAAAUUUGUAUCUACAACUUUAAUUGAUACAAUAUACAAGGGUCUGAGUUUUAACGUAAAAAGAAUCUAAAAUAUAGGAAGGCUGCUAAAAAACUCCUCAAGGAUACCAUGCUUGUAAUUUGUUACGCCAGACGUGCGUUUCGUUUACAUAAGGCUCGUGAGUGGCGCUCGAAUUAAAUCAGUUGGAAGGCCUUAUCAAAAAGAAUGUUGACGGCAUAGAAAACCAAAUAACGAAAAUGUAACCAAAAAUACGGACAUAUGACUGGAGUAGAAAAUCCUAAGUGUUUCACGUUAAAAAAAAAUAGUGAGCAGAACAUUUAAUGAAAUUGACCGUAUCAUUGAUAUUUCACGCCAAGCAGUGGCAUUGACCCAGUGAUUUCAUUGAACUCAUCAAUGAUAACAGGCUAAUAAUUUAUUUAAACGAGAUUAUUAUUGUCAUAGCCAUGAUUCUAAAUGUCUUCUCGCUAUUAGAACAUCACAGAAUGUGACUUAUCAGCUGGUAUUCGUUUAUCAUGAGCAACACCAUUGGUCCCGUAAGUUGAGCAGAAUAUGAUUACCGUUGUAGAGUACCUGAGUAUACACAAGGUUUUUGUAGUGAUAAGAAUUUGUGUAUAUUAACGUAUCUUUCAUAAUAAUAUCACAAGAAAGAAUGUUUAAAACAACAAUUAUUAGUAUUUAGAAGUUCAAUCACUACAAAAGAUAUAAUUUUUAUGUUUGUGAAUGAUACUUGUACUAGCACUAAUAUUAUCAACAGUUCAAGUAUGUAAUUGUAAACAGAAUUAGAAACUAAACUAUCAAACAAUGAAAUAAAUAAAACAAUAUCAAUUUACACACCACAAGCAGUGAAAUAGUCAUAUAGGUAGAACUCCAGGGGGCUAAUGUGAUUACAUUUAUGGGAAUUUAAAAACAAUAGAAUUGUCACUUUGCAGGAGAUAUCUUAUCAAACAAUAGAGGAAACGGAGCGACCAACUUGGGUUCUAUAAAAGGCAGGCGAUUGUAAGCUUUUUUCAUAACACAUUUGUUGAUUUAUAACACUGACGAGGACCAAUCUUAGUAUAUCUCAAAAUGGUUUGCUACCAGAACACUGUUUCUUGUGCCAUUGUUGGUGAUGGAAUGGUUGGAAAGACCUGCCUUACUAAAAGAUUUGCUGGAAGCCAAUUCUCAGACAAAUAUGUUGCUACAGUUGCAGAAACGUCCACUGGAUCUGUGUCUGCUUACGGCGACAAAUACAGCGUCAAUAUCUAUGAGCAUGAAAAUCAGUCAGCAAGAUCAAAAACAAUAACAGAAUCUGAUGUCAUAGUGGUAUGCUACAGUGCAGUUGACAAAGAAUCAUUUGAAAACGUCAAAUCUUUUUGGAUUCCAAUGGUCAGAAAACUCAAUAAGAAGAAACCAAUUGUUUUAGUCGCUACCCAUAGUGACAUGCGUGAUGAAAAUAAUACCGACCAUGUAUCAGACUCUGAAGGACAAAACUUUAUGAAAUCAAUAAAUGCUGACUAUUACAACAAAUGUUCUGCUGCUACAAAUGAGGGAGUAAAGAAUGUCUUCGAAAGUGUCGUCUAUUAGACAUAGAAAGAAGAAAACCAAUGUGCUUAAACGUGUUUUCGCACGAUGAACUUGAACUUAUCUCUGCCCUGAGAUAAACCUAUAUUUUACACAUCUUGAACUGUGUUUAGAAUAGCAAAAUACUUGCUGUAAAAAGACAUUGAGAUAGGAGGAGUUGGAGAUGGAAUGUACCACUGGUGUACAUUCCAAAGACGGAUUGAAAUACUGCUGUCACAUUACAGUGAUUGUAACGGAGAAUAAGCAGUUCCCGUGAUGUUCAAGAGCACAAACUUAGAAAAACAAUAUGAAAUCAGUUAUGAUGAUGAACUUAAAGAGAAAAGGACUCAUUUAGUGAAAAGACACAAACAAUACAUGUAUGAUAUUGGAAACAUUAUAACAAUAAUUACUUUAAAAUUAUCUUACAUAAAAAAUAUUUGUUCUGUUAACUUUGUACUUAAUGAAGGAAUGUCAUGUAAAAAUUGUUACAAUCAGUAAAUGUUUUAUCCAAAUGGA
Molecule: long non-coding RNA, 5314 nt
Organism: Mytilus californianus (California mussel)
Lineage: Eukaryota; Metazoa; Mollusca; Bivalvia; Mytilida; Mytilidae
Exons: 2
Source: RefSeq, a predicted model, not a curated record